Molecule: ribosomal RNA, 478 nt
Filed under: uncultured bacterium
Lineage: Bacteria
Description: partial 16S ribosomal RNA
Rfam family: Bacterial small subunit ribosomal RNA
Source: RNAcentral
GACGAACGCUGGCGGCGUGCUUAACACAUGCAAGUCGAACGGUAAGGCCCUUCGGGGUACACGAGUGGCGAACGGGUGAGUAACACGUGGGUGAUCUGCCCUGCACUUCGGGAUAAGCCUGGGAAACUGGGUCUAAUGCCGGAUAGGACCAUUGCCUGCAUGGGUGGUGGUGGAAAGCUUUUGCGGUGUGGGAUGGGCCCGCGGCCUAUCAGCUUGUUGGUGGGGUGAUGGCCUACCAAGGCGACGCCGGGGAGCCGGCCUGAGAGGGUGACCGGCCACACGGGGACUGAGAUACGGCCCAGACUGCGCCGGGAGGCAGCAGUGGGGAAUAUUUCACAAUGGGCGCAAGCCUGAUGCAGCGACGCCGCGUGAGGGAUUACGGCCUUAGGGUUGUAAACCUCUUUCAGCACCGACGAAGCGCAAGUGACGGUAGGUGCAGAAGAAGGACCGGCCAACUACGUGCCAGCCGCCGCCGUAA